CGGAAUCAGGUGGCAGGGGGGGCGUGAAUACGGAGGUGGCGAGGGUUGUCGGGAAUUAGUGGGCGGAAAGGGGUCGGUGGUGGGUUGUCGGGGCUGUCGGGAAAGUCCGGGGCUUAACGCCGGAUCGGCGGUGGGUACGGGCAGACUAGAGUGCAGUAGGGGAGACUGGAAUUCCUGGUGUAGCGGUGGAAUGCGCAGAUAUCAGGAGGAACACCGAUGGCGAAGGCAGGUCUCUGGGCUGUAACUGACGCUGAGGAGCGAAAGCAUGGGGAGCGAACAGGAUUAGAUACCCCAGUAGUC
RNAcentral lists this ribosomal RNA (300 nucleotides) under uncultured Bifidobacterium sp. RNAcentral describes it as "bacterial SSU rRNA". The stretch from base 52 to 300 matches the Rfam family "Bacterial small subunit ribosomal RNA", at positions 547 to 795 of the family's 1533-position model. The record is from RNAcentral. Lineage: Bacteria; Bacillati; Actinomycetota; Actinomycetes; Bifidobacteriales; Bifidobacteriaceae.